Molecule: transfer RNA, 68 nt
Filed under: Enoplometopus occidentalis (Hawaiian reef lobster)
Lineage: Eukaryota; Metazoa; Arthropoda; Malacostraca; Decapoda; Enoplometopidae
Also listed under: 1 other name
Description: tRNA-Ser
Source: RNAcentral
GAAAUAUUAUGUCAUAUGAAGAAACUUCUAAUUUCAUUCAUGAGCAGUUAAAUUCUGUUCAUAUUUCU